GCAGCCGUGGCCUACUGGUUAGCGCUCCGGACUUGUAACCGGAGCGCUGUUGCCGGUUCGAACCCCGACCAGUAGGA
This 77-nucleotide transfer RNA is filed under the name Alosa alosa (allis shad). RNAcentral describes it as "tRNA-OTHER". The record is from RNAcentral. Lineage: Eukaryota; Metazoa; Chordata; Actinopteri; Clupeiformes; Clupeidae.